This is a non-coding RNA of Equus caballus (horse), 1889 nucleotides long. The record is from RefSeq and is a predicted model, not a curated record. NCBI's taxonomy places the organism in Eukaryota, Metazoa, Chordata, Mammalia, Perissodactyla, Equidae.
CGGCGGGCGUGGCGCCCUGCGGGAAUUGGAGGCGUGCUCCAGGAGUCGGUCCCCGCCGGGUCCCCGAGCGCCCCGCGAACGGGGGAAGUCUGUCUCCUCCCACUGGAAGAGAAGUUCCAUGAAGCCUGUGCAGCACCGCAACUGUCCCUCCCUGACCCCAGCAGAAGAUGAAGUUUCAUAGAAGAGCUUAAACCAGAGAGACCCUGGACAGAGGACAUUGGGAACAAUGUGGCCAAGCUUCUACACUGAAAACUGGAGGACUAAGGGGAUGUCUACAUAUUCAAAAAGAGAAGACCCUCUGCAUCUUUCCCUGUUCGUCUCUCCCAAACUCUUCCCCAAGAGCGUAGAUCUCCACUCAGUAUGUCUCAGCACAUUAGGUAAUCUCUGUGGACGGUUUGCUCUCUAGUACUGCUACACAGUUGUUGCCCUGGGAUCUCAGUUUAUCAUACUCUGAGGAUUUCCCCCAGCUUUAUCCUGUUGAUCUCUUAUUACCUGAAUCUCACGUUUCCUCUUUGGUAUAUAACUUUGUCUUGGCUGUGCAUAGCAUCCAGUAGCUGCCUGAGAAAGAGUCCACAGGAUGCCAUUCUUUUGAGAGCCAGCAUGUCUGACAAAGACUUUAUUCUCUCCCCUUAUACUUGAUGGAUCAUUGGGUGGAGGCUUGUCAACUACUGGGCUUUUCUAUGGGGUGUUCUGGCUAAGUUCAUUAGGCAACCCCUGGAUAUCAAUAUCAUUAAUGUCUCCUUCUCCUUCUUCUUCUUCUUCCUCUUCGCCCCGCCCCCUGCUCCCCUGCUCCUUGCCUGUCUCUUCUAAAGAGCAAGAAUUUUGAUUCGCUUACCCCUGUAUCUCUGGUGCCUAGUACCACAGCUGGUACCCAACAGGCAUUUAACUUGAAUUCAAACUAACAACUUAACAUUGAAGUCAAAUAAACUUUAUUUCUUUAUGUAGUGAGCUAUCUAUGAGGGAACUGAAAAUGUGAGAAUAAAUAAUAAAAGAACUCCUCCACUUGAAGGAAUUGUAUGCGACAAUUAAACUCAGCAUCACGAGGAAUGACACCAUCCUUCUGCUUUACUCAACUUCUCAGCAGCAUUUCACAGAGUGGAUGACUGUCUCCUUGAAACUCCUGGCUUCCGGCACAUCUUCUUGGUUCUCCUGCCUCACCGAUUGCUCCUUCCCAGGCUUCUCUGCUGGAGCUCCCACCUAUUCCUGGACUUUCAAUGUUGGAGUGUCUUAGGGUUUAGUCCUCUUCAACACUCUCACCAUAGGUGACCUCACACAGUCCCUUAGCCUUAAAUUCCAUUUAUAUGCUGAUCAUUCCACAUAGCUCUCUCUAGCCCUGGCUUCUCCCCUGAAUGCCAGAUUCUUUUCUUUUUUUUAUUGAAUAGAUAUUUAUUAAGCACUUAUUUACAGUAGGAAUGUUCUAGACCUUGAGACUAUGCUCAAAGAUGGAUCAAAUAUAUAAUUCUCUGUAUAAGAAAAUGAAGUUUGAGUUUCCAAAGAAGAAUGUGGAGAAUUAAGAGUUAUGGAGUUUUGGCUCAGAGUAUCUGUUCCAAUUUUCUUCUUGUGUGAUCUCCCUUUCCUGUGGAGAGCAGAAAGCUAAAACAAAAAUGUCUCCAAUUCAUUUUCAGCUGGUGAUCCAAGUUUGAUUCAGGUUCCACAUCAGAUGCAAUCAUAUGAGACUUGAAAUUUGAACUGAGAUAAAUGGGAUAUAGGGCAUGUGUUUUAUCCAUGCAGAUGAUAGGAAUUGUGGCACGGUUCUGGAGCCAAACUCUGUCUCUGAGGCUUGCUGAUAUAGCAGAAAUGGCUUCUUUCCUCGCCACCCACCCACCCCCUGCCCCCAAGGAAGACUAGCCCUGAGCUAAUAUCUGCUGCCAAUCCUCCUCUUUUUGGGG